CCCCUAGAUGUUCUGGGCCGCACGCGCGCUACACUGGACAGUUCAACAAGUCUUAACCUUGGCCGAUAGGUCUGGGUAAUCUUUGAACGCUGUUCGUGAUUGGGAUAGACCUUUGCAAUUAUGGGUCUUCAACGAGGAAUUCCUAGUAAACGCAAGUCAUCAGCUUGCAUUGAUUACGUCCCUGCCCUUUGUACACACCGCCCGUCGCACCUACCGAUUGAAUGGUCCGGUGAAAUCUCGGGACGGCGGCUCGGUCGCUUGCGUCCGACUGCUGAAACUUGAUUAAACCAUAUCAUUUAGAGGAAGGUGAAGUCGUAACA
RNAcentral lists this ribosomal RNA (320 nucleotides) under uncultured eukaryote. Its description in RNAcentral is "partial 18S ribosomal RNA". It matches the Rfam family "Eukaryotic small subunit ribosomal RNA", at positions 1470 to 1796 of the family's 1831-position model. The record is from RNAcentral.